AGUGAACGCUGGCGGUAGGCCUAACACAUGCAAGUCGAACGGCAGCACAGUAAGAGCUUGCUCUUACGGGUGGCGAGUGGCGGACGGGUGAGGAAUACAUCGGAAUCUACUUUUUCGUGGGGGAUAACGUAGGGAAACUUACGCUAAUACCGCAUACGACCUACGGGUGAAAGCAGGGGAUCUUCUGACCUUGCGCGAUUGAAUGAGCCGAUGUCGGAUUAGAUAGUCGGCGGGGUAAAGGCCCACCAAGGCGACGAUCCGUAGCUGGUCUGAGAGGAUGAUCAGCCACACUGGAACUGAGACACGGUCCAGACUCCUACGGGAGGCAGCAGUGGGGAAUAUUGGUCAAUGGGCGCAAGCCUGAUCCAGCCAUACCGCGUGGGUGAAGAAGGCCUUCGGGUUGUAAAGCCCUUUUGUUGAGAAAGAAAAGCAGCAGGUUAAUACCCCGCUGUUCUGACGGUACCCAAAGAAUAAGCACCGGCUAACUUCGUG
Molecule: ribosomal RNA, 492 nt
Filed under: uncultured bacterium
Lineage: Bacteria
Description: partial 16S ribosomal RNA
Rfam family: Bacterial small subunit ribosomal RNA
Source: RNAcentral